GUGAAGCUCUUAAAAUGAAACAGGAGUCUCCAAAAUAAUGAGCUACUUUAAGCAAACAUUAUUGAUUGUCAGUGGGAACGUGACUGGCUCAUCAUGUUGCUUCCAUGUUUGUUGUCUAUGUCAGGGAAUGAAUGGUAUGCUCUGCCAAUUACUGACAGUAUAUAAAGGUCCAAGGGAAGGAGAAGACACACACACUUCAGAAACAUCCUCUUGCAGUCCACCUGAAUCCUCUUGCCUUGACAACAUGUGUUGCAACUACUAUGGCAACUCCUGCGUCUAUGGCUAUGGAAACAGCUAUAGCUGUGGGUUCAGCCCCUGUUACGGCUGUGGAAGUAGAUACGGCUGUGGAUAUGGCUCAGGAUAUGGCUGUGGAUACGGGUCAGGAUACGGCUGUGGAUAUGGGACAGGAUAUGGCUGUGGAUAUGGUUCAGGAUACGGCUGUGGAUAUGGGACAGGAUAUGGCUGUGGAUUUGGCCCCUAUUAUGGCUGUGGCUACGGAACCAGGUAUGGCUGUGGAUAUGGCUCUGGCUAUGGCAGCUACUGGCCAGUUUGCUACAGGAGAUGUUAUUCUUCUUGCUGCUAGAACCUCACCAUCUAAGCCCUUUUUGCCUCUGAGAUGAAGCCUCUAAAGAUAAUGCUGAUUCAAGGAUUUAUAACCCACGAUUUCCACUUGCAAGAAAUCACAUGCCUGACAGAGAAUUUGACCUGCAAAUAUCCACUUUAGAUUGGCAUCUUUCAGCCCUGAAGCUUCUUGGUAAUAUCUCUGCCUCUUGUGCAAAUGUUCAUCUUUAUUCUCUGAUUCUCUGUUAUGACUGUAUUGAUGAUCCUAACAAAAUCACUUGUUCUCAAUAAAAAUGAUUCAUUGUUUCUAUCAAAUCUCUGUGUACUUGCUUGUGAAUUACUCUUUUUCCAGGCAUUGUAGACUCAGUUGAAAAUGGGGCAAACAUGAUGCAUGAAGUUUGAGUUCUUCUUUGAUGUAAUGCAAACAUUUCUGUCCAUAUCUGUGUCAGAAAUAGUGUCUUCUCCACCUGUUUCUUGUAUCCCAUGUACUCAGGCCCUCACAUUCCCAAGCACAAGUCUCCCAGUAUUUCAGAACUGUGCUUUGUAAAUCCCACCGUGUCUAGGAUGGAACUAAAGGGGAAAGAGGAGGAAGAAUGCCACUUUAUUGAGGAAGUUGAUGUAAAGUCUAAGGUAGACAAAAGAUGACCUGAGUGCUUAAAAGAAUGGAAGAGACACUUUCCAGGUUCAUGAGAAUUAGAAUUAGAUAUAGGAAUUAAGAACAUGAGAAUAAAGAACUAAGCAACAGAAAAGUAAUACUAGAAAUCUACUCAUUUUGUCUGUUUUGAUGUAAUUGCCUAUGUAUUUGCAUAUACCGAGGUUGAGGAAAUUGAUUUCAAUCACUUAACUGACAGUUUUGAGUAUUUUUGAAAGGGUCUCAAAUUAGACAGUGAAGGCAAUGAAGGUGAAUUAAAGACAAGCCUCUUGCUUUCACAGUGUUUAUAUUCCAGCCCGUGUAUAUAGAAAAACAAACAGAAUAAAUAAUUCAGAUCAUUUGGAACUGACAAUUUUGAGUGAAGGGAAUAAAAUAGGUAAAUGCAAAAGAGAGUAAAAGUUGAAGUAUUAGAAAGCUAGUUCAGGGAGGUAUUUUCAACUUGUGGCAAAUGAGCUGAUGUCAAUUGCAAAGAAAGGGCAGUAGCAAGUGUAAAUGGGAGAAAAUUUAUGAAGUUUUGUAACAAUGUGAUUUGUUAGGCAUGUAUGAGAUAAUUUGCACAUCUAGAAAAGAGUUUUCACAAAAUAACUCAACGUACCUUCAAAAUCUGAAAUGGUACGACUCCCUUAAUCAAAGAACAUUUGAGACACUCAG
This 1864-nucleotide long non-coding RNA is filed under the name Ovis aries (sheep). RNAcentral's name for it is "lncRNA (ENSOARG00000025566.1)". Lineage: Eukaryota; Metazoa; Chordata; Mammalia; Artiodactyla; Bovidae. The record is from RNAcentral.